Molecule: ribosomal RNA, 406 nt
Filed under: uncultured bacterium
Lineage: Bacteria
Description: bacterial SSU rRNA
Rfam family: Bacterial small subunit ribosomal RNA
Source: RNAcentral
CAAUGGGCGAAAGCCUGACGGAGCAACGCCGCGUGAGUGAUGAAGACCUUCGGGUUGUAAAGCUCUGUCGGAGGGGAAGAACACAAUGACGGUACCCUCCAAGAAAGCCCCGGCUAACUACGUGCCAGCAGCCGCGGUAAUACGUAGGGGGCGAGCGUUAUCCGGAUUUACUGGGCGUAAAGCGCGUUAAGGCGGCCGACAAAGUUGGUGGUGGAAAUUCAGGGCUCAACUCUGAAACUGCCUCCAAUACUGGUUGGCUUGAGUGCGAGAGAGGAAGGUGGAAUUCCCGGUGUAGUAGUGAAAUGCGUAGAUAUCGGGAGGAACACCAGUGGCGAAGGCGGCCUUCUGGCUCGCAACUGACGCUGUAGCGCGAAAGCGUGUGGAGCGAACGGGAUUAGAUACCCCG